Molecule: ribosomal RNA, 253 nt
Filed under: uncultured bacterium
Lineage: Bacteria
Description: partial 16S ribosomal RNA
Rfam family: Bacterial small subunit ribosomal RNA
Source: RNAcentral
UACGUAGGUGGCAAGCGUUGUCCGGAUUUACUGGGUGUAAAGGGCGUGCAGCCGGGAAUGCAAGUCAGAUGUGAAAUCCCGCGGCUCAACCGCGGAACUGCAUUUGAAACUGUGUUUCUUGAGUACUGGAGAGGCAGACGGAAUUCCUAGUGUAGCGGUGAAAUGCGUAGAUAUUAGGAGGAACACCGGUGGCGAAGGCGGUCUGCUGGACAGCAACUGACGGUGAGGCGCGAAAGCGUGGGGAGCAAACAGG